This is a non-coding RNA of Leptonychotes weddellii (Weddell seal), 5572 nucleotides long. NCBI's taxonomy places the organism in Eukaryota, Metazoa, Chordata, Mammalia, Carnivora, Phocidae. The record is from RefSeq and is a predicted model, not a curated record.
CCUGAGCCGAAGGCAGUCGCUUAACCAACUGAGCCACCCAGGCGCCCCUGUCUUUUUAAAAUGGUACUCUUGGGAAGCCACGUACUUACUGUAGGGAUAUUAGUAUUACUUAGAACAUUUUUGAAACUUUACUUUUGGAAUUGCCUCCAAAGACAUUUUGCAAACCACAUAGAAAAGGCAUCUCAGUGUUUAUUAGUCACGGAUUACACUCCCUUGUCCUUAUGACCUCUCCUCUCUUCCAUUCUCAGUUUUGCUUUUCUUCUGCUGGCUUAGCUCUCCUACCCACCUAUGCUGGAGCCAAUGACCUAAGGGUGCCCAGACGGGGGGUAUGCUGGCCAGAGUUCCUGGAGCAAGAACUUUUAGUUUAUAGUGAAGCUGAAUGCUGUAAAGGGAGGAUCCUACAAGUCCAGAAACCUUUCUCUGUGGGCUGCCUGUAAGUGUUGUAAGUAGUUUGCACAGGACUAAGGACUGAAUACUGGUAAUAUCAAUCACAGGAAGGUGAGGAAGCCUAAAAUGUAAGUAUGUAAUGUACAGCAUUUCUCUGCAGUGAAGAACAGAAACUAACCCAAGCCAUGCUUUGUGUUAACUUAAAACUGAAAGGUGUUUCUCAGGGUCUCCUUUGCCCUUCAUUGCUGCCACAUAAAAGCUGGGAGGAAGGAUGAUGAAAAGCCUGGGGAAAAGGCUCUCCUGUGAAAUGGACAUGUUUUUCUCUUGUAUUAUCUCUUGUAUUAAAGUACAAUGUGGCUUUGGAUGUCAGGUACUUACGAAUGUUGGACAAUGUUCGUAAGGAGUCAUAGGACUAAUAAAAGGCAGGAAAGCUUCCCUGGGAGCCUAAAUUAAUGUAAACAGUUCAGGUUCUGUUUGUGUUUUUAACAACAUUUUGUUUCUAACAGGUGGUUCUUGCUAUUUAUAUUCAUUAAUUUGACACCGUUUUACAGAGGAACUUCUUGGGUAUUAUAAACAAUCAAUGGCAAAAGAUGAAUAUUAUUAUCCACAUCACCACUCUCAAAGAAAUUAUUUGUUUUUGGAGAUAAGAAAUAUAUCUGUGCAAAUUUAACAAAAGAAAUAAAUUGAAUAAAAAUUAUUUGCCCAAGAUCAAAGCUAGUUGGCACAACAGCUAGAAUUAUACCAAGGUCUAAGAAAAAAGAAAAUACCCUCGAAGUAAUUUAACUAAGGUUUUGUUAUGCCAUAUCAAGUUGCAUGCUGAGGCUUAUGGUCUUUCAGACCAGCUUAAAUUCCAGAUGAGGCAAUAGCUAUAGUGAAAAAAAUUAGAUGGGGGAUCAGGAGAUCAGAGUGCUAAUUUUGGCUCUCUCUCCCAUGGUAAGCUUUUUCUCAGUGGUGGCUGCCUUCUCCUAUUCCAGCCAGGGAUUUGCCAACCAUAAACCUCAGUGGUUAGCAACUUGACACUCUAUUCUUCGUAUCUAGCCUCUUACUGGGUCCUGUCAAUUCUACUUUGAAUGUUAGUUGCAUCUAUUUAUAAAUAUAUUCAUGGUCAUCACUCUAGUAAAAAACUGUUACCUCACACCCCCCACCUCAUUUCCCCCAACUUUAAGCCAUUCCUCACAUCAGUGCCACAAGAAUGAGAACUAGGUCCCUCUUCCAUUAUUCUGCUGAAAUAUUUCCAGUGGCUCCCACUGAAUACUUGAUAAAGUUCAAAUCCCGUAGGUUGGCAUUCACAGCUUUCCAUAUUCUGGCCCCAGCUUUAUCUCUUCAAACUCAACUACUCACCAUCUGACAAUGCCACUGAGAAUCAGACAUUCCAUAAAAAUGAUUUUAAGGUGUUUCUAUGGUGAAGUUAGGAACUGGUAAUAAACUGUUUACAUUUGUCUAGAUGAAAAUUCUGCAGUACUACAUUUUACACAACUAGUCAGCCUAAAAGUUGUUUCUUAAGGAAAAUCUUUUGUCCCCCCAGAAGAAAUUACAUUUAAUUUCUUAACCUCUGAAACAAUGUCAGUCUUGUCACCUGUGCUUCUGAUAGCCAGAGCAUGGGGAUUUUUCUUCAGCAGCAUAGAUACUCCAGCCUUGAAUGGACUAUUGUCUAGCUCCUGUGAGAAACUUGACUAAUAAAUAUUUGAGAAAAACAACUCAAGAGUACAUGUUAUUCAUACAUUUCUCAAGUACUUGAGAUUUUCUUGUAUUAUGGUUAAUCAUUAAAAAGAUGUUUACCUGGGUUUCAUUAAUUAAACCCCCUAUUAAACCCUUGAUGUUAGCAAGGGUCAGCACAAGAAAAGACCAGUGGUGAGAAUUCUACAAAUUCUGUAAAGCUUACUGAAUUCAUUAUGUUGUUGAGUGGGGCUUGUAUAAGGAAACAUGCAAUAAAUUCAUUCAACAAACAUUGAAUUGAAUGCCUGUGUGUGUUGCAUGCCAGAGCCAUAUAUAGAAAAAUAUUAGACCUGUAGAAUCUACCCUUGUAAAUCAUUCAAGCUAAUGAAUUCAGGUACACAAAGCAAGUAAAUCACAGGAACGUGGUUAAGUAUCUUAAAAGAGGAAUAAACAAAGUAGGAUGAAGGUACACAGAAGAUGGAGUGAUUUGCUGCCUGGAAGAGAAGGGGAAGGCUCUUAACAAUGUGUUAAGAGGUAGGCAUGGGUUAGGAUCUUGACCAAGGUCUCCAAUACCCAAGUCAUGUACCUUUCCCAGUACCUCCAAGAAGGUUAUGGCUGACUGAAGACAGAGUUGUGGGCUUUGAGGUGGCAGAGGAAUUCCAUGUACAAAGGGUUGAAAACACGAAAAAGCAGUGUGCUCAGAGAAAACCAAGGAAUUAAACUUGUGAGUGAUGAAGCUGGUAGGAUGGAAAUAUCGACUGGGGUGGUUAUACAUGUUUUUAACUGAAUAAUUCUUUGUUUAAAGGAAUUCAUGUGUUGCUUUCUAUCAGAUAAGACUGUUAGAACUCUUUGGAGUUCUUUUGCCUUCCUUGCCAAGCAAGUUAGUAAACCUCACCUUUGCCGGAGUUCUUGGUAUAUUUGGCAUAUUUGCUUUCCUUUCCCACAUGCAAGAAGUGAUUUGUGCUUUCUUGUCUCUCCACUGUGAGAUCCCCAGCUUUAUAUUGAAUGCCUGCUUUCUUCCUGUCCUGCUAUUCAUUCCAUAGAUAUUGAAAACCCACUGAGAAAAUAAAUAGUCAUGAAACUUAACCUGUUAGUGUCCAAGACUUUCAUGGUCCAGUUUUCCAUUUCUACAGUAUUUCUUAACCACUGCAAUUCAUUGGCUUCAUUCACUUGUGGCGAAUUCUGCAAUGUUUUAUAACUUCAUAGCUAUAAACUUUCAUUUGUGGUGGUAUGAUCUCGCCAACUAGAUUGUAAGCUGCUUUCAGGGCAGGGACUAUGUCAUCUGUUUCUUGGAAUAUUUUAUGGCAUGAAAUAUAGUGAUGAGAAGGGGAAAAGAAAUACCCCCCAAGAGUGACUUCCACGUAAUGAAUGAUGAGGUCCUAGCAUGUGUGUGGUGCCAUCUUUCGGGGAUAUGCAUGGAAAUGUGAAAAAGUCUCCUAAGGCAUUUCAAACCUUUGCUCAGUACUCACUUUUGUCUAUUAACCUAGGACUGAGUGAUGCAACAGAAGAAAUCUGGAAAACACCUCCAGGACUUGGGAGCCACGAAUUGAAAAUUGAAGAAUUUGGAGAAUUACUGAUCUUACAGUGCUCUAGAUUGCUGGGAAUACAAAGGUAGAGGAGUUCCUGCAUCUACGGCAUUCACAUGCUGAGGAGCCUGAGGCCCAAAGUAGACGGGAUAAAUGAGAAGACUUCCACCUAUGACAUUCUCCGAUGCAUGGUUCAGAGGGGAAGAAGUGUAAAUUUGCCUCAGAUCUGGUCCAUCCUCUGACCUGAAGACUACAACUUCGAUUUCAGAGUUACUGAUUAAAAGCACUGAAUUGAACAGAACUAAGACCCAACCUUGAGGAAUUUCUGUCCUGCCUUUCUAAUUAACAAUCUGGUAAGAUAUACUAAACAUGCCCCUUAUCACCUUAUUAACAACAUUUAUUAUUCUGAAUGAAAUGAUGUUUAAGUCAUGCAUAACUAAGAGUUCUAGGCUGAUUUUUUAAAAAUAACAAUCAUUAAAUAUGCAUUAUAAAUAUUCACUUUAUUUUAAAAGAAUUGGAAGAUGUUACAUAUAUUACACACUACAUAUAAUGGCACAUGUCAGCCUUUUAAGCUUAAAAAUAAUCUUUCCCCAAACUGGGAUUGACUUAGACUCCAAGUAUAAAAUGACUCUUGGCCUAUAGCACCAACCCAGGCCCAGAGGAAAGCCAAUUUUGAACCUGUCUGUCCUCUGGCAUUGGGCUUCCUGAUAUGACACUGAGGGUCCUCUCCCUCUGGUUUUGUUCCCUGGCACUAUUGAGGCCUGGCACAGGGACCCAUUUGACUAUACACUGCAGGCCUAGGGAAUCUAGAGGGGGUGGUAGGUCCUCUGACAAUUUCACAAUGGAAAAAAAUUGAAAACAUUAUGUGCCUUGUCUUUGUUUUUGAUCUAUACUACUAUAACAAGACUCUACAAGAUAGAAGAUCAGAAUUAUUGAAAUACAAUUUCUCUGCUGGUUUUUGUCUUUGAAAUUCACGUGUCAUGACAGGAGGAGACUUAAAAGUCAUCUGGUUCAAUACUGGUAACCUACUCUACUAGUAUCUCAGACUUAGGUAUAAUUCAAAGUUUUAAAUGCCAUCCAUAUGCCAUUUCGUUAGACAAACACAAAGAAAUUUAAUAACACUUUUCAUAUUCUUUUUCUUAAUUCAUAAGGACAAUUUCUGCCAAAUGUUCUGGCUUAUGGCUCUCCUCCUCUUCAUAGUAUGUUUAAGUUACAUAUUAAGAAUCCAAAAAAUACCACUAUGGAAUUUUCAUAAGCAAUAUCCGACCAAUCAGUAAAACACGGUACACAGUGUGAAAAUUUUAAUUUAUUCCCCUCCCAAGUAUCCAGAAUAUAUACCCUCUUAGCUUUGAGAAAUGUGACAAUGAAAAUACCAACAGAAUUGAUCGUAUAUAAAGAAAAGCACAUACUACACAGGAGACAUCCCUAAGUCCUCCCUAACCUAGCAGUGCAAGUUAAUGGUAUGUUUCUGGUACUGUCAGUCACCUUUCACUUGAUUUAUAAAAAUUUUACAGGACAGAUUUAAAGCAAAGAUAGGCCUCUGAUUUUUAUUUUUAUUUUUUUAUCCCUAACAGAUUUUUAAAAAGAGGCUAUAUUAAAGGACAAUGCAUUUUGAGUCAGGGGGAGCAAAAAAAAUUAAAAACCCAAAACUUCUUUCAGUUUAUUCAAAAUAAAAAUACACAUAGAAUUAUGAAAAUAUAGGUUUACUAUUUCCACCAUGUAAGUUGAUGCUGCUGUUUGAAAGGCUUGCAAAUUGUUUUUCAAGUUUUUAAAGCUCAUCUCGAUCCCUCAAUAAAGUAUACCUAUAUUCGCUGGGUGCUAAUUUCUGGAAGGAGCUCUCAGGUGGACUGCUUGCUACGUCUUGGACUUGCUGCAAGAGAAAGAAUAAAACAUAUCAAUAUAUUUUAUGGAGCUAUACUGUUUUAUUAAAAGUACCAGAUGAAUGGUAGUUGUUUUGUAAUUAUUUGCUUAAUAAAGAUAGCUACUGUGUGCCAAAGGCCAGA